This 75-nucleotide transfer RNA is filed under the name Candidatus Doriopsillibacter californiensis. RNAcentral's name for it is "tRNA-Thr". It matches the Rfam family "tRNA". From Rfam's summary of the family: Transfer RNA (tRNA) molecules are approximately 80 nucleotides in length. The record is from RNAcentral. Lineage: Bacteria; Pseudomonadati; Pseudomonadota; Gammaproteobacteria; Candidatus Tethybacterales; Candidatus Persebacteraceae.
GCCCAUGUAGCUCAGUGGUAGAGCGUUCCCUUGGUAAGGGAGAGGUCGCCAGUUCAAUCCUGGCUAUGGGCACCA